UACGUAGGGUGCGAGCGUUGUCCGGAAUUAUUGGGCGUAAAGAGCUCGUAGGCGGUGUGUCGCGUCGGCCGUGAAAACCUGGGGCUCAACUCUGGGCGUGCGGUCGAUACGGGCAUCACUUGAGUUCGGCAGGGGAGACUGGAAUUCCUGGUGUAGCGGUGAAAUGCGCAGAUAUCAGGAGGAACACCGGUGGCGAAGGCGGGACUCUGGGCCGAUACUGACGCUGAGGAGCGAAAGCGUGGGGAGCGAACAGG
This 254-nucleotide ribosomal RNA is filed under the name uncultured bacterium. RNAcentral's name for it is "partial 16S ribosomal RNA". It matches the Rfam family "Bacterial small subunit ribosomal RNA", at positions 524 to 776 of the family's 1533-position model. The record is from RNAcentral.